This 756-nucleotide ribosomal RNA is filed under the name uncultured bacterium. Its description in RNAcentral is "bacterial SSU rRNA". It matches the Rfam family "Bacterial small subunit ribosomal RNA", at positions 8 to 796 of the family's 1533-position model. The record is from RNAcentral.
AGAGUUUGAUCAUGGCUCAGAAUCAACGCUGGCGGCGCGCCUAACACAUGCAAGUCGAACGAGAAAGUGGAGCAAUCCAUGAGUACAGUGGCGUACGGGUGAGUAACACGUGGGUAAUCUACCUUUUAGUGGGGAAUAACCAGGGGAAACUCUGGCUAAUACCGCAUAAGCCUGAGAAGGGAAAGCAGCAAUGCGCUGAAAGAGGAGCCCGCGGCCGAUUAGCUAGUUGGUGGGGUAAGAGCCCACCAAGGCAGAGAUCGGUAGCCGGCCUGAGAGGGCACACGGCCACACUGGCACUGAAACACGGGCCAGACUCCUACGGGAGGCAGCAGUGGGGAAUCUUGCACAAUGGGGGAAACCCUGAUGCAGCGACGCCGCGUGAGCGAUGAAGCCCUUCGGGGUGUAAAGCUCUUUCGUCAGGGACGAUAAUGACGGUACCUGGAGAAGCAGCUGCGGCUAACUACGUGCCAGCAGCCGCGGUAAUACGUAGGCAGCAAGCGUUGUUCGGAGUUACUGGGCGUAAAGGGUGUGUAGGCGGUUCUUUAAGUUUGGUGUGAAAUCUCCCGGCUCAACUGGGAGGGUGCGCCGAAUACUGAGGGACUAGAGUACGGGAGAGGAAAGUGGAAUUCCUGGUGUAGCGGUGAAAUGCGUAGAUAUCAGGAGGAACACCGGUGGUGUAGACGGCUUUCUGGACCGUAACUGACGCUGAGACACGAAAGCGUGGGUAGCAAACAGGAUUAGAUACCCUAGUAGUCC